RNAcentral lists this ribosomal RNA (386 nucleotides) under uncultured bacterium. RNAcentral's name for it is "bacterial SSU rRNA". It matches the Rfam family "Bacterial small subunit ribosomal RNA", at positions 28 to 414 of the family's 1533-position model. The record is from RNAcentral.
GACGAACGCUGGCGGCGUGCUUAACACAUGCAAGUCGAGCGGUAAGGCCCUUUCGGGGGUACGACGAGCGGCGAACGGGUGAGUAACACGUGGGUGACCUGCCCUCAGCUCUGGGAUAAGCCUGGGAAACCGGGUCUAAUACUGGAUAUGACUCCAUGACGCAUGUUGUGGGGUGGAAAGCCUUGUGCGGCUGAGGAUGGGCCCGCGGCCUAUCAGCUUGUUGGUGGGGUGAUGGCCUACCAAGGCGACGACGGGUAGCCGGCCUGAGAGGGCGACCGGCCACACUGGGACUGAGACACGGCCCAGACUCCUACGGGAGGCAGCAGUGGGGGAUCUUGCGCAAUGGGCGAAAGCCUGACGCAGCGACGCCGCGUGAGGGAUGACGG